Molecule: long non-coding RNA, 730 nt
Organism: Triticum dicoccoides
Lineage: Eukaryota; Viridiplantae; Streptophyta; Magnoliopsida; Poales; Poaceae
Exons: 3
Source: RefSeq, a predicted model, not a curated record
ACAUAGAUGCCCUCCUUCUGCACCUCCAGCGCCGGGGCGAAAUUGAUGCAAAAACAAGUGAGGAAGGUAUCCCUCCAAUUCAGAGAGGCAGCAACGAGCAGUCUUGUGCAUGCGGCGUGGGCAAAUGGAGCAGCUGCAAGGCAACCCAGUUGCUCCCAUAGCAAUACCAGACGAAUUAUUGCAUAUAUGCAACAAUGAACACACAGGCAAGAAAAAAGAGAGGUCCACUUCUAACUGCUGGGCGAGAUUCGUGAGUCUCCUACUGUGGAAAAAUAAAGUAAAGAAGACCAGAGAAUAAUUACAUUGUCAUCUGACCAGGCUAAUCUGCAGAAAGCGUGCAUGGACAGGGAUCGUCCCAGUAACCUCUGCGAAGAGAGGGCGCAUUUAAGGAGAUAUCUUCCUAUAUUUAUCUGCAGCAUCGAUGAUAUCAUGGGCAGUUUUUCUUCUUGUCUAACUAGAUCUGUAUCGUCAUCUAUGUUAGAAUAAUCUCUUCGGUUGACUCAUCCACGCUUGAUAUUAUUUAUGGAAUAGCAAAAUUUUAUUCAACCAGAACUAUUUAGAUCAUUCAUAUGAACAUUUAUCGAUUCUCUGUCAUUUUCAUUCAAGCGUAUGCAUAUUUUUGUGUUGAAUAACAUGUUUGUUGAUGUAAUGCAAGCCAAUAAUUUUCAUGGUCGUGCUACCUUUGGUAUUUCGUACUAUAUAAGAAUUAUGUAAGUAUUGUUCAAGUGAG